CAGCACUAAUCUGGCAUUAGCCAUGGGCCAAUCAAAUUGCUAUCGCUGAUGCUUACUACUUACCGGAUCCACAUGCCGGCCCAUUUCAACACUAUAUGAAAUCACUAUUGUUACCUACUUACUUAUGUGCAUCUCACUAUUUUGUUGAUCAACGAGUUCUAACAUCAUUCUAUUGGGUUUAAAUCAGUACAGUAUUAUUAUUUUUAUAUUAAUGUUACCAUGUUCUAUGAUGUGGUAUAACUGCAGUAUACUACAAUGUUCUAUCAUUUCAAAACUGUAGUAUACUACUAGAUGUUCUUUUUUUUAGGCCUUCUCUUUGGAAAUUUCUAAAAAAAAUGUUUGGUGGUUGUACUUUUCUCUAUAUGCAUCUUCAACACCAGCUGAUUCACGUGCAUCUUGUGUAUCCUAGCCUCUGUAGCAUCUUUGUUUGUUUGUCAAGAGUUUCUUGGGUUUGGCGUGCACAUGCAUGUGGUGUACCCUAUAAGAAAGAGAAUAUUGACAAUGUAUCCAAUAGUUGAGGCUAUUGCCAAAAUACAUGCCAAAAUACAGCUUCACAUCUGACUCAUGUGUUUGUUCAUUGUAGGCUGAGUGGCAUGAGAGUGGCUGAAAACGCGCAGAAAACAGCACCUACGGCAGCCCAGGCUAGCACGUCGACAUGUCGAUGCCUACCCAUCACGGCUCCCUUGAAGCCACCUCUACCUCAUCGCCCAGUCACCCGUCUCUUCCAAGCAGCCCACAACAGGAAUAGGGGUGGUAAAAUGGGCGCCCUUGUGACUGAUAGCUCAACCUACAAAGCAGGCCAGCAACGGACCAAACGUGAAGGUCCUAAUAUCCAACGGGG
Panicum virgatum (switchgrass) is the source of this 841-nucleotide long non-coding RNA. RefSeq lists it as uncharacterized. Lineage: Eukaryota; Viridiplantae; Streptophyta; Magnoliopsida; Poales; Poaceae. The transcript is spliced from 3 exons. The record is from RefSeq and is a predicted model, not a curated record.